GAUGAACGCUGGCGGCGUGCCUAAUACAUGCAAGUCGAGCGAACAGACGAGGAGCUUGCUCCUCUGACGUUAGCGGCGGACGGGUGAGUAACACGUGGAUAACCUACCUCUAAGACUGGGAUAACUUCGGGAAACCGGAGCUAAUACCGGAUAAUAUAUUGAACCGCAUGGUUCAAUAGUGAAAGACGGUUUUGCUGUCACUUAUAGAUGGAUCCGCGCCGCAUUAGCUAGUUGGUAAGGUAACGGCAUACCAAGGCAACGAUGCGUAGCCGACCUGAGAGGGUGAUCAGCCACACUGGAACUGAGACACGGUCCAGACUCCUACGGGAGGCAGCAGUAGGGAAUCUUCCGCAAUGGGCGAAAGCCUGACGGAGCAACGCCGCGUGAGUGAUGAAGGUCUUCGGAUCGUAAAACUCUGUUAUUAGGGAAGAACAAAUGUGUAAGUAACUAUGCACGUCUUGACGGUACCUAAUCAGAAAGCCACGGCUAACUACGUG
Molecule: ribosomal RNA, 497 nt
Filed under: uncultured bacterium
Lineage: Bacteria
Description: partial 16S ribosomal RNA
Rfam family: Bacterial small subunit ribosomal RNA
Source: RNAcentral